AUGCACGCUGGCGGCGUGCCUCAUCCAUGCAAGUCGAGCGAACAGACGAGGAGCUUGCUCCUCUGACGUUAGCGGCGGACGGGUGAGUAACACGUGGAUAACCUACCUAUAAGACUGGGAUAACUUCGGGAAACCGGAGCUAAUACCGGAUAAUAUAUUGAACCGCAUGGUUCAAUAGUGAAAGACGGUUUUGCUGUCACUUAUAGAUGGAUCCGCGCCGCAUUAGCUAGUUGGUAAGGUAACGGCUUACCAAGGCAACGAUGCGUAGCCGACCUGAGAGGGUGAUCGGCCACACUGGAACUGAGACACGGUCCAGACUCCUACGGGAGGCAGCAGUAGGGAAUCUUCCGCAAUGGGCGAAAGCCUGACGGAGCAACGCCGCGUGAGUGAUGAAGGUCUUCGGAUCGUAAAACUCUGUUAUUAGGGAAGAACAAAUGUGUAAGUAACUAUGCACGUCUUGACGGUACCUAAGCAGAAAGCCACGGCUAACUACGU
RNAcentral lists this ribosomal RNA (495 nucleotides) under uncultured bacterium. RNAcentral describes it as "partial 16S ribosomal RNA". It matches the Rfam family "Bacterial small subunit ribosomal RNA", at positions 29 to 506 of the family's 1533-position model. The record is from RNAcentral.